Molecule: long non-coding RNA, 1395 nt
Organism: Cebus imitator (Panamanian white-faced capuchin)
Lineage: Eukaryota; Metazoa; Chordata; Mammalia; Primates; Cebidae
Exons: 3
Source: RefSeq, a predicted model, not a curated record
AGAAAAGUCUGUAACCAGCCUCUUGAGCUGCUUUCUCUCACUCCCACUUUGUGGAGUGUACUUUAGUUUCAAUAAAUCUGUGCUUUUUUUUUUUUUCAUUGCUUUGUUUGUGCGUUUAUCCAAUUAUUUGUUCAAAAUGCCAGGAAUCUGGACACCCUCCACCAGUAAUAGGUAACAGUUUUGGUUCUGUGUAUCUUCAGAGCUGUUACUAGCCAGGCACUCCUUCUUGAUAAUUUGCAAAGAAAAUACUCUGAAGAGUCUGAAGUUCACUUGUUGAACCCAAUGUUUUCCCCCAGGCAUUGGGAAGGGGAAGGCAGAAAAGCAGACUGUAAGAUCAAGUGGUAGUGGAUGCUAACAGAGAAUCUUUGGACAGGAUGGGACAGAAACAAAGUCAUGCAUGUUCUAUCUAUCUGUCACCUGUGGACAACUUGCCACUUCAACAGUUCUGGACGCUUUUAAAUCCCCUAAGGAGAAGCUAAAUACUGUGCUGGUUAUCCCCAUCCAUAACUCCUCCCAGAGGGCCCCAUAUCCUAUCUUCCAGAAGAGCUAAUAGUCCAUGGUAAGUUAUGCAUUUGGACUAUGAUCAAGUGGAAUAAAAUAUUAUUUUCCCUUUUAUCCAACUGGCAAAUUGCAUACUCUUCCUCUAAAGUCAACUGGAUGCAAUGCUUUAAAAAGACUUCCUUGAUAACAUACUGUGAGUUCUUUGAACACCUUAAUUAUGUCCCAAUGACAUAUGUCUUGGCAUUGCAUUUCAAUUAUUUGUCUGUAUUGCUGUUCUGAGGGAAAGAUCCGUGAUUUAUUUACCUUUAUAAUUUCAGUACUAAGUAUAAUACCUUGCACAUAGAAAGAGUUGAAUAAACAACUGAUGGAGAAAUGAAUAAAGGAACAAAUAAAUGUUCUGUUAAGGGAAACAGUUAUAAACAAGGAAGACUAAGAAAAAGGAGCAGUUAAUUCUGUAUCAAGGCAUCUAAACCAAUUUGAUUUACUUAAAUGGCUUUGUCUCUAAAUGAAAAUACAAAGUUUAUUUUUAAAAAAUUUCAACUUAUAAAGAAAAAACUCAUAAUAGUUUGUCUGUAUAUAUCCAGAUAAUAAAAAAAACUCUGUCUAGAUUAUUAUAGUUUAUAUGCUAAGAAUAAAGGUGAUACAAAAUGUUCAACAGAAGUACUAUUAUUUCCAAAGAAAGGGAAAGAUAAACUUACAUAUUCUCUAUUUUCUUAGUCUGUGUAAUUCACUUUAUUCAGUUCCAAAAGAAAAAAGUCUUAGAAGACCCAGAUCAUAAAUUCCUUUACCAGAACAUAAAUUCUUUCAUCCAAUGACCUGAUUUUUUUUUUCUUUUCUUUUUUUUUUUUUUUGAGACGGAGUUUCACUCAUGUUACCCAGGCUGGAGUGCAAUGG